GCAGAUCCAAAGACAUUUUAGAGGUGGAAGGGAUGGUCAGGAGACGUUCAUUGAGUAUUAACGCCGGAUGAAAGGAAGAAUCAAGAGGAGUGGAGUGCCUUCUAGCUUGGAUUUCUACAUGGAUAGUGAAUAAUUAAUGCAGGACUUCUACGUGAAGAAGUCACACAUAGUGAAUUAUCAUCAGAAUUCAGAAUUAUCGUCAGAAUUAAAUGUAAACCGAGUAAUCGUUAAAUCGUGCCUAGCCACCUCCAACUCCAGCGACUGGGUGCCACAGCUCCUACCCAAUCCAUUUGCAUCCCUUCUGCAACAUGUCCCAGCUCAAGCCUUGCUCCAAAGUACAAAUUAGCACAGCAGCCCAGUGAACACUGCCUCCGAGCUUCCGGAAAGAAAGAUGCUCAGCCACCAUAGGCCCAGAAUUAAUGAAAAGUCACAGAAAUAACUGCUCCAUUCUCUGGUUGCUUUUGAACCUCAAAUCAGUGGUUGGCAACAAGGUGAGGAUUUACAGAAACUGCUGAAAGGACUUUCUGGUAAACAGAGCACCAGAGAGACUUUGCUUUUGAUAUGUGUUCUAACCAUGUAUGAGCUUGUGCAGAACCGCUGGCUCGCAGGCAUGACCUGAAUUCCCUGUCUAGCUGGAAAGUCUAUUUUGAUUUUGAUUGCAGGAUAUAAUUUCUGGAGAAAAGUCUUCUGUGAGAAUUUCUUGCUUUUCUUUCUACUUUUUAUCAGGUCAAAUUAUAGGAAUUGAACAAUACAUACUAAUAUUAUACAUUGGAUAUAAUUUGCCAAUAUUUUAAUUAGAAGAUAAUUCUUGGAAGGAAAAUUUUAUUUUUUGCUUAGUUGUAAGCAAAUACCAACAAUGUACACUUCAGACCUCACAAAUGAAAACUGAUUUUUCUUUCAGGAGAAAUGACCACAAUGUUAGGUCAGAGAAUUAUCACUGUCAACACUUGCCCAACACAAACCACUAAAAGCCUAUUUUCUGUUACCAAACUGUGGUAGGUACAAAAUUAUCAAUAUCGUAACUUUUUCCCUUCCAUCCCUUUACAUGGAAGGAGCAAGGAGGCUCUUUGACCUUGAUGAUGCAUGUUGACAACAUGAGUACCAUUCUUAACUCUAAUAAUCAAGGCGAAGGAUGGGGACUAUGAGGGCUGCCUUACAUAGUUUCGAGUCUCCAAAAAGUUUUGACAAUGAUCCUGGUCUAGGAAUUUGAUGAGCUAAUAAAUGAAAAACUUUUAAAAUGACAGAGAAACCUUUAAAGAGGUACCUAUCAUAUGACAAAUGCUCAUAAAUAGCAUUAAGAUUAAUUGGAUAACUGAGGUUACCAACUUCCUUAAGGAUUCCUAGGAAAUAAAAGAUAAAAUCCUAAGAACACUUUAGUGCAAGUUCCUUUUCACUGUCCCAAGCUACACAUUUACUCUGGGCAGAUAUGUUAAUGAUGCUUGAUAUGCAUGAUAUUUCUGCUCCCGAGAUUGUUGCUUUGGCCUUUGGAUGGUCUGAUCAACUUCAAAGCAAUCAACAUCAAUAAUUGUUAGCCUGAGACUGGAUGGAGUAGGCUACUGACCUGCCCCAGGGAAGCAGGUAACACUGUGCUGUAUGACUUGACCAUCGGUAAGCAUCGCUUUAACUCAACAAAGCCCACCCUGCUUGUAACUGAACUGGCCUAAUGAACUGAAUUAUAAGAACCAUCUUCCUCUGGACUUGGCUGGCACUAACAUGAUGCCAAGUACCGCAUGACCAAUCGAAAGGCUCGAAGGUGAUGGCAACCCACUUGGAGAAAAUGGAGUCGGAUUUUAAGCAUCGGGGUGUUUCUAGCAUAAGUAGAAUACAGAAAGGUUCAGAAAUUCCCUACAAAAUCACCGCACAUUGUAUAGAUGUCACUCAAUAUUUAAACUGGGUAAGAAAUCACAAAACCUCUGAUUUCUCAAAAGGAGAGCCUCAAGCCAUCGAAGCUGUCAGGACCUCGAAGGCUACCCAACUUAAUUACCUUAUUUCACAAAUGAGGAAAUGCGCCACUCUUCAUACAGGCAUAAGAAAAGAACAUGGAGCUAGAAUUGUUACUGGCUAUCUUAUUUUAGGGGAUUAUAGACAUAGAUUAUAGACAUAGAUAGACACUUGAGGAGCACCAUCUGUGCAUGAAGCACAACUCACUGGCGAAAUGCAUGCUAAAAUUCUCGUGUCUGAAUCCCAGCUCUUCCUGUUUCUUCUCCUGUGCAGAUGUGGGAAAGGGACAGGCAGGUAAUGAAAGACAGCAGCCAGCCCCUUCUUGUUGCUCUUGCUCGAACCACAUCCUGGUCAGGUGCCAUUAUUCACCAGUUCCCCUGACUCAUUCUUCACACUGUCAUCACUGCCUGUGACCUUCCUAAAGCACCGUUUCCCUCCCGAAAACACUCCAACAAGGCAAUGUAUAGCUGACCUAUGUUCUUCUAGUAAUGUUUUCUCUCCUCUCUCCAUUCUGGUAAUGCAUGUGCCUCAGCGGCUCACCAUCACCAGUUUGGUGAUCGGCUUAGCUAGGGGCAGGAACUCAGGGGCUGUGAAGUAACUGAUGUGCCCUCUGCGAGGCCUGUUUCAAAUAGAAGUUGGACCAAUAACAAUCAUUUUAGAGACCAAAAUGGUGUUGAGUGAAGUAGUGAAGGCAGCUCUUUAUGUCCCGCCUGUCCUCAGUUUACUCGCCUUUUCCAUCUAACCAAACCCAGUGAGUCCUGAGUGCACAGUCAUCCCCCAGUCCUCUCUUUCACAGCUACCACUGGAUGGAGGAGGAGGAGGAGGAGGAGGAGAUAGGUGGGACACAGAGCCAAACCUCUAGAAUUAGUGAGACAGUCACUCUGAUCUUCGUUCCUGAAGAAGGACCCAAAGCUGCUUGAUGUGGCGUGGAGCGCACGGCACAGCUUUCCUGAGGGACCUGUCUAGCAAGUCCCGUCUCCUGCACUUUCAGCUUACACAGCCAGAACAUAAAUCCUCCCACUGUUCCAAGAUGAACUGUUAGGACAGCUCCCUUCUCUUGCUCCCUUCAGACUGCAAGGCUUUCUGUGCGGUAUUUUCUUUCACAGCAGCCAGCCCUUGGUGUUCAGCACACUUUAGGAUUACCUGAGUUAAAAGAAAAAAAGAGGGGGAGCUGGGAAAUGCACUUAUGGCCUCCUAAAGAGGAGCCAGGAUGUGAAAGUUAAUGAAGAAAGGGCCAUUUGACAUAAUUUAAUAGAUUGGUGUUACAAUAGUGAAGACAGAAAGAAAAAAUAUGAGCACAUUGCUUCUUAGUGAGUUCAUAAAACAUCUGCAGCAGAGGUCUUAUCUUCUGGUUAAUGAAUUAAAUGAAUUAUUUAUUUAUCCUGUUGUAUGUGUGGAUCAGAGGUCAGAGGAAAGCUCUGUAGGAAUCAAUCUUCUUCCUCCCUGUGCGUUUGGGGAAUUGAACUCAGACCAUCAGGCUUGGCAGCAGAGAAAUAGUCAUAAACAGAUCCAUGCCCUGUGACCACAUUGUAACAUCACUGGGUAUGAUGACUACAUCAUCUGUGACUGACCUGCUCCCCAGACUAACACUGAAGUGCUGUAAUUUCUUGAGGAUUAUCCAUCCAGGGGAGAAAUGAUGUGUAGACCCAUCAACAGCAGUCAGAAUGCUUUCAACAGCAAGAAGAAGUUUGCUGUGUAACAAGUAAGAACUGUUUUAAAAGUAUGGCUACAUACAUCUGCAGUGUCCAAACAUCCUUAUUUAUUAUGAUAGUAUUCACACUAGUCAAAACAGGGAAUUAGUCUAGAUGUCUGUCAACAUAUGAUUCCCUUAAAAAAACAUAGUAUAAAUACAAAGUGGAGUUUUAUGCAGCUAUAAAGAAAAAACAAAAUUGUGUCAUUUUCAGGAAAUAAGUGAACUAGAGACUAUUAUGUUAAGUGGGAUAAGACAGAUGCAAACAGAGAAUAAAUUAAUUGAACACAAUGUUUCAGAAACAGCCACAUAUGUAAAACACUUGUAAUAAAGAUGUCAUCACUGCUGGUGGGAA
This is a non-coding RNA of Peromyscus maniculatus bairdii (prairie deer mouse), 3986 nucleotides long. The record is from RefSeq and is a predicted model, not a curated record. Lineage: Eukaryota; Metazoa; Chordata; Mammalia; Rodentia; Cricetidae.